This 489-nucleotide ribosomal RNA is filed under the name uncultured bacterium. Its description in RNAcentral is "partial 16S ribosomal RNA". It matches the Rfam family "Bacterial small subunit ribosomal RNA", at positions 29 to 506 of the family's 1533-position model. The record is from RNAcentral.
AUUGAACGCUGGCGGCAGGCCUAACACAUGCAAGUCGAACGGUAACAGGGAUCAGCUUGCUGAUUCGCUGACGAGUGGCGGACGGGUGAGUAAUGUCUGGGAAACUGCCUGAUGGAGGGGGAUAACUACUGGAAACGGUAGCUAAUACCGCAUAACGUCGCAAGACCAAAGAGGGGGACCUUCGGGCCUCUUGCCAUCGGAUGUGCCCAGAUGGGAUUAGCUAGUAGGUGGGGUAACGGCUCACCUAGGCGACGAUCCCUAGCUGGUCUGAGAGGAUGACCGGCCACACGGGAAUGGAGACAGGGCCCAGCCCCCUAGGGGGGGCAGAGGUGGGGAAUUUGCCACAAGGGGGGAAGCCCGAAGGCACCCCGGCGGGGUGUAGGAAGAAGGCCUUGGGGUUUAAAAGUACUUUCGGGGGGGGGAAAGGGGGUAAAGUUAAUCCUUUUCCCCUUUGACGUUCCCCGCAAAAAAAGCACCGGCAAACCCCGG